Molecule: unclassified non-coding RNA, 339 nt
Filed under: soil metagenome
Description: partial contains 5.8S ribosomal RNA, internal transcribed spacer 2, and large subunit ribosomal RNA
Rfam family: 5.8S ribosomal RNA (bases 1-120)
Source: RNAcentral
GAUGAAGAACGCAGCGAAAUGCGAUAAGUAGUGUGAAUUGCAGAAUUCAGUGAAUCAUCGAAUCUUUGAACGCACAUUGCGCCCCUUGGUAUUCCAUGGGGCAUGCCUGUUCGAGCGUCAUCUACACCCUCAAGCUCUGCUUGGUGUUGGGCGUCUGUCCCGCCUUCGCGCGCGGACUCGCCCCAAAUUCAUUGGCAGCGGUCUUUUGCCUCCUCUCGCGCAGCACAUUGCGCUUCUCGAGGUGUUGCGGCCCGCGUCCCACGAAGCAUCGUUUACCGUCUUUGACCUCGGAUCAGGUAGGGAUACCCGCUGAACUUAAGCAUAUCAAUAAGCGGAGGA